AGAGUUUGAUCCUGGCUCAGGAUGAACGCUAGCGGCAGGCCUAAUACAUGCAAGUCGAACGGUCAGUAGCAAUACUGAUAGUGGCGCACGGGUGCGUAACGCGUAACCAACCUACCUGAAUCUGGGGGAUAGCCCGCCGAAAGGCGGAUUAAUACCGCAUAAAACAACAGAACGGCAUCGUUUAAUUGUUAAAGAUUUAUUGGAUUCAGAUGGGGUUGCGUGCCAUUAGCUAGUUGGGGAGGUAACGGCUCACCAAGGCGACGAUGGCUAGGGGAGCUGAGAGGCUGGUCCCCCACACGGGCACUGAGAUACGGGCCCGACUCCUACGGGAGGCAGCAGUAGGGAAUAUUGGGCAAUGGACGAGAGUCUGACCCAGCCAUGCCGCGUGCAGGAUGAAGGCUUUCUGAGUCGUAAACUGCUUUUGCCAGGGAAGAAAAAGAGGGAUGCGUCCUUCACUGACGGUACCUGGUGAAUAAGCACCGGCUAACUCCGUGCCAGCAGCCGCGGUAAUACGGAGGGUGCAAGCGUUGUCCGGAUUUAUUGGGUUUAAAGGGUGCGUAGGCGGCUCAUUAAGUCUGGGGUGAAAGCCCGUUGCUCAACAACGGAACUGCCCUGGAAACUGGUGAGCUUGAGUACAGACGAGGGUGGCGGAAUGGAUGCUGUAGCGGUGAAAUGCAUAGAUAGCAUCCAGAACCCCGAUUGCGAAGGCAGCUGCCUAGACUGUAACUGACGCUGAGGCACGAAAGCGUGGGGAGCGAACAGGAUUAGAUACCCUGGUAGUCCACGCCGUAAACGAUGGAUACUCGCUGGUGGCGACAGACUGUCACUGGCUUAGCGAAAGCGUUAAGUAUCCCACCUGGGGAGUACGCUCGCAAGAGUGAAACUCAAAAGAAUUGACGG
This 900-nucleotide ribosomal RNA is filed under the name uncultured bacterium. Its description in RNAcentral is "bacterial SSU rRNA". It matches the Rfam family "Bacterial small subunit ribosomal RNA", at positions 8 to 916 of the family's 1533-position model. The record is from RNAcentral.